Molecule: long non-coding RNA, 923 nt
Organism: Bos taurus (domestic cattle)
Lineage: Eukaryota; Metazoa; Chordata; Mammalia; Artiodactyla; Bovidae
Source: Ensembl
GAGGAGCCUGGCAAGCUAUAGUCCAUGGGAUAGCAAAGAGUUGGACAUGACUGAGCAACUAACACCACAAAUAAUAAUAAUUGCAAAGUUAACAUUUCUCUUGACUGCUGCUGAGAGCUCUGAGGGACUGUUCCAAAGAGGGGGAAGUGGAGAGGAAUGAAAACAGGGGACCAGUUAGCAGGUUGCUGUGUUAAUCGAGGUUCCAUACAUAAGAGAUGUCACACAAUAUUUCUCCUUCUCUGUCUGACUUACUUCACUCAGUAUGACAAGCUCUGCUGCUGCUGCUAAGUCGCUUCAGCUGUGUCCGACUCUGCGACCCCAUAGACAGCAGCCCACCAGGCUCCCCCAGACCCUGGUCUUUGGUAGCAACUUUGGGACUGGCUCUGGGUUGAAGAAGUGCUAGUCCAAGGGCGGCAUCAGUGGUGUUCCUCUCGGGGGUUCCUGGCAUCAAUACCCAGCCUCCACCGAGAAAGCGACUCCAGGCCGAUGUUGAAACAUUCCCAGGUUGCACUGUGCUGUGGCAUCCGAGGUGGUAUCCCUUGCUUUUAGUGUCAAAAGCUGCAGAGUUCCAGCCCAGGAAAAACACCCCCACCCCAGCUGGACUGGCCCGGACCCCUGGAACCUUGGCCAAUGAGAGCCACUGUGCUGGAUGGAGGGUUCUGGAACUCAGGGUGGAGUUCUUGGAGACCUCACCCCUGCCUCCCACUUUGAGCCGGAUAUUUCCUCUAUUCCUAUUUUUUUUAAAUUAAUUUUUACUGGAGUAUAGUUGUUCUUGGGCUUCCCUGUUUGCUCAGUGGUAUAGAAUCCACCUGCCAAUUCAGGAGACAUGGGUUUGAUCCCUGGGUUGGGAAGAUCCCCUGCAGAAGGAAAUGGCAAUCCAUUCCAGUAUUUUUGCCUGGGAAGUCUCAUGGACAGAAGAGCCU